RNAcentral lists this transfer RNA (74 nucleotides) under Candidatus Woesearchaeota archaeon. RNAcentral's name for it is "tRNA-Trp". It matches the Rfam family "tRNA". From Rfam's summary of the family: Transfer RNA (tRNA) molecules are approximately 80 nucleotides in length. Their secondary structure includes four short double-helical elements and three loops (D, anti-codon, and T loops). The record is from RNAcentral. Lineage: Archaea; Nanobdellati; Candidatus Woesearchaeota.
GGGGACGUAGUAUAACCUGGCUAGAAUAGGAGCCUCCAGAGCUUCGGAUCUGGGUUCAAAUCCCAGCGUCCCCA